This 1525-nucleotide ribosomal RNA is filed under the name Klebsiella oxytoca MGH 28. RNAcentral's name for it is "bacterial LSU rRNA". It matches the Rfam family "Bacterial large subunit ribosomal RNA", at positions 1424 to 2925 of the family's 2925-position model. The record is from RNAcentral. Lineage: Bacteria; Pseudomonadati; Pseudomonadota; Gammaproteobacteria; Enterobacterales; Enterobacteriaceae.
AACAGGUUAAUAUUCCUGUACUUGGUGUUACUGCGAAGGGGGGACGGAGAAGGCUAUGUUGGCCGGGCGACGGUUGUCCCGGUUUAAGCAUGUAGGCGGAUGUUCCAGGUAAAUCCGGAACGUUAUUAACGCUGAGGUGUGAUGACGAGGCACUACGGUGCUGAAGUGACAAAUGCCCUGCUUCCAGGAAAAGCCUCUAAGCAUCAGGUAACAUCAAAUCGUACCCCAAACCGACACAGGUGGUCAGGUAGAGAAUACCAAGGCGCUUGAGAGAACUCGGGUGAAGGAACUAGGCAAAAUGGUGCCGUAACUUCGGGAGAAGGCACGCUGAUGGUAAGUGAAGUGACUUGCUCAUGGAGCUGAAAUCAGUCGAAGAUACCAGCUGGCUGCAACUGUUUAUUAAAAACACAGCACUGUGCAAACACGAAAGUGGACGUAUACGGUGUGACGCCUGCCCGGUGCCGGAAGGUUAAUUGAUGGGGUUAUCCUCGCGGAGAAGCUCUUGAUCGAAGCCCCGGUAAACGGCGGCCGUAACUAUAACGGUCCUAAGGUAGCGAAAUUCCUUGUCGGGUAAGUUCCGACCUGCACGAAUGGCGUAAUGAUGGCCAGGCUGUCUCCACCCGAGACUCAGUGAAAUUGAACUCGCUGUGAAGAUGCAGUGUACCCGCGGCAAGACGGAAAGACCCCGUGAACCUUUACUAUAGCUUGACACUGAACACUGGUCCUUGAUGUGUAGGAUAGGUGGGAGGCUUUGAAGUGUGGACGCCAGUCUGCAUGGAGCCAUCCUUGAAAUACCACCCUUUAAUGGCUGGUGUUCUAACGUGGGCCCGUAAUCCGGGUUGCGGACAGUGUCUGGUGGGUAGUUUGACUGGGGCGGUCUCCUCCUAAAGAGUAACGGAGGAGCACGAAGGUCAGCUAAUCCUGGUCGGACAUCAGGAGGUUAGUGCAAUGGCAUAAGCUGGCUUGACUGCGAGCGUGACGGCGCGAGCAGGUGCGAAAGCAGGUCAUAGUGAUCCGGUGGUUCUGAAUGGAAGGGCCAUCGCUCAACGGAUAAAAGGUACUCCGGGGAUAACAGGCUGAUACCGCCCAAGAGUUCAUAUCGACGGCGGUGUUUGGCACCUCGAUGUCGGCUCAUCACAUCCUGGGGCUGAAGUAGGUCCCAAGGGUAUGGCUGUUCGCCAUUUAAAGUGGUACGCGAGCUGGGUUUAGAACGUCGUGAGACAGUUCGGUCCCUAUCUGCCGUGGGCGCUGGAGAAUUGAGGGGGGCUGCUCCUAGUACGAGAGGACCGGAGUGGACGCAUCACUGGUGUUCGGGUUGUCAUGCCAAUGGCAUUGCCCGGUAGCUAAAUGCGGAAGAGAUAAGUGCUGAAAGCAUCUAAGCACGAAACUUGCCCCGAGAUGAGUUCUCCCUGACCCUUUAAGGGUCCUGAAGGAACGUUGAAGACGACGACGUUGAUAGGCCGGGUGUGUAAGCGCAGCGAUGCGUUGAGCUAACCGGUACUAAUGAACCGUGAGGCUUAACCUU